GGGUCAGUAGUUCGACGGUAGAGCUUUCGCAUCAUAUGCGAAAAGACACGGGUUCGAUCCGUGACUGGUUCG
Molecule: transfer RNA, 72 nt
Filed under: Toxocara canis (dog roundworm)
Lineage: Eukaryota; Metazoa; Nematoda; Chromadorea; Rhabditida; Toxocaridae
Rfam family: tRNA
About the family: Transfer RNA (tRNA) molecules are approximately 80 nucleotides in length. Their secondary structure includes four short double-helical elements and three loops (D, anti-codon, and T loops). Further hydrogen bonds mediate the characteristic L-shaped molecular structure. tRNAs have two regions of fundamental functional importance: the anti-codon, which is responsible for specific mRNA codon recognition, and the 3' end, to which the tRNAs corresponding amino acid is attached (by aminoacyl-tRNA synthetases). tRNAs cope with the degeneracy of the genetic code in two manners: having more than one tRNA (with a specific anti-codon) for a particular amino acid; and 'wobble' base-pairing, i.e. permitting non-standard base-pairing at the 3rd anti-codon position.
Source: Rfam by way of RNAcentral